Molecule: transfer RNA, 71 nt
Filed under: Dryobates pubescens (Downy woodpecker)
Lineage: Eukaryota; Metazoa; Chordata; Aves; Piciformes; Picidae
Description: Picoides pubescens (downy woodpecker) tRNA
Rfam family: tRNA
About the family: Transfer RNA (tRNA) molecules are approximately 80 nucleotides in length.
Source: Rfam by way of RNAcentral
ACCUGGCUAGUUCAGUUGGUAGAGCAUGGGACUUAAUCCCAAGGUCAUGGGUUUGAGCCCCAUGUUGGGUG